CUCGGUUAUUCAUGCCUGUAAUCCCAGUGGCUCAGCAGGCUGAGGCUGAAGGAUCACAAGUUUAAAACCAGCCUCACAAACUUAGGGAGGCCCUAAGCAACUUAGUAAGACUUUGUCUCAAAAUAAAAAAUAAAAAGGACUGGGGGAGGUGGCUCGGUGGUUAAGCACCCCUGGGUUUAAUCCCUGGCAUUGAAAAAAAAAAAAAAAAGAGGUCCCUUCUCCAAGAACACAUACAGUCCUUAAUGCAAAUGUGCCUAAUAACACAAUGUCAAAACAUAUGAGGCAAAAAUGGAUAGAACUUGAAGAAGAAACAGAUGAAAGUAUUAAUAUAGUUGUUAACUUCACAAUCAUAAUAAAUACACAAAAUAUAUAAAAUACAUUAGGACAUUCUCUGAAUUCAUUUAUCCAAUACCUCAAAUAUCAGCGCCUUUCUUACCUUCUAAGUGCAAAUGCAGAGUUAUCGUAAAACAACUUGCCAGGAGUAAUAACAGCUAUUAGCUAAAAUUUGCCAUGUCUUACAUUUCCAGCAUUGUUAAAUGAAUUCACAUAUUUAAGCCUCCUAACAACCCUUGGCUGUCUGCUUUUAGCAUGCCCACUCUGCAGAUGCAGACAACGAAAAUAGAGAGGACAUUAAAAAGAUCUUGUAAGAUAUGAAAUGUAUUCAGAAGCUUGUGGAGCCCCCUAAACCUGGUUGCUGUCCCAAGGGAUGAGCACUGAAUUUUAGCAUCUCUGACAGCAUCUCUGAGGAUUCCUGCUGUUGCACACAGGAGGAAAUUUUUUAUCAGACAUUAUUCUUCCAAGCUACUGAGCCCCAGAGGAAGAAACUUGGGGGAGCUGGCUAGAAAGAUGAGGGGGGAAGGCUACUGUCAUAUCUAUAUUUUAAGGAACUGCUAUAGCCU
This 899-nucleotide long non-coding RNA is filed under the name Marmota monax (woodchuck). Lineage: Eukaryota; Metazoa; Chordata; Mammalia; Rodentia; Sciuridae. The record is from RNAcentral.